Dicentrarchus labrax (European seabass) is the source of this 3632-nucleotide long non-coding RNA. RefSeq lists it as uncharacterized. NCBI's taxonomy places the organism in Eukaryota, Metazoa, Chordata, Actinopteri, Moronidae. The transcript is spliced from 3 exons. The record is from RefSeq and is a predicted model, not a curated record.
CAAUAUGACACUGUUUUGUUUUAUAGCUACCAUGAAGAAAACAAGUUUUAUUAUCAAAUGUCUAACAGCCUUUUUCAAAAUAAUCAACACACUGAGGAAAAUUACAUUUUAAGAAAAUAAACAGAACUGAACCGCUGGUAGCAGUAAAUUCAUUUAUGAAAUUGGAGCUCGAAAUUUUGUCAAAAACUGUUUUAACAUCACAGUCACUUGGGUGGGGUUAAUGCAAGCACCACCAUAUAACAGUUCCCUUACUCUUUAUGAUAUGCUUCUUAGUUGGAGCACAGAGCCCAAAGAUCUGAGCGAGUUAUGAAGGGUGGCACGAGUCAGGGUCUGCUGGAAUAGAUGCAAUGAAGUUUAAACCCUGAUGAUGGAAUAAAGAAAACUAAUUCUUCGCCCUAUUAUGGAAAAGAGUGUCAAUUAAAAAAGAACAAUCAGCAAAACAGCAUUUCCCUCAUCUCUUUGUAUCUCACACACCAUUGAAUAUUUUGCCCAUUGUUGUAGUGUCGCCAUACCAGAAGACAUGGCUUAAUUAACGCCUUUGUUACAGCAAGUGUCUGACCUGCUUAAAUAUCUUUACGCCAGCCACUGAAGACAGCCAGAGACCAGCUGCAGGGAAGCUAACUGUAAUGUCUGACCUUAAUGUCCUGUUAGGGAAAUGAACAGAAAGUCAUUAAAAAACUAUUGCGCUGAACCUGCGUUUCUCCUUGGAGUCUGUUUGGAGGGAAAACUUUCAGGGGAUAUAGUUUGAAUUAUUUGAAAUCAUCUUCUAAAGAGAGGCUGAAAACAUUUUCAAUCACUAUUACAUUUCACUGCAGAUGAUUAAAUUGUUGACUGAUUUCCCAAAAUGUUUAUUGGCCCACAUAAUCAGGGCAAAACGACAUCUCCAGCUUCUUUGACCAUGCCCGAGUACACUAACAAAAGGUAGCUCAUUUUGACCGUAAUAGUGCUAACAGAAACCAUUCAGGACACCGAGACCGUUGAGUGCCAAUUCAACACAUGACGCCUGACUCAUCCCCUCUGCUCUGAGUCACUCCCUCCCUCCUCUGGUCCAGGAUCUGUGGCUCUCUGCUGGAGCUGGCUCCUCUCUCUUAAUGUUAACCCCGCCACUCGACUGGCAGGAAGCCGGCCAAGGAUGCAGACACGGCCCUACUGAGGAGGAAGGGGCUGUUUUCAUUUCAGUUCUUUCUUCAUGUAGACAAAGACUGGGUGGGAUGAUGGUGUGGCAAGAAGAGGGCAAGCCAAGGGACGUCAUGAGGGACUGGAGCGCCGCCACGCUGCUCCUCCGUUCCAACCAUUCUGUCGUGUCUUAAAAACAGAUUUAUGAGGAUUUUUGCUUUAUUUGAUAUUGCGGAAGACAGAUUGCUUUGGAGCUUUGGGACGACAUCAAAGCAAAAAAGGCUCUAGCUAAGCUCAUUAUACAAAUGAGCAUUGGGGCCUUGUGCACACUCAGAGCAGUGAACAUGUGAAAGAUGAUCCCACAAGUUAAAAGGCGGUGGCGGGGGUAACCGCACUGGAAGGGCAGAAAGCACGAGAUGACAAGACCACUCAGAGUAUGAAUGAUCCGAGCACGGUGACAUCAGCCACUUCUUGUCACUGCUGAUGUUUUUGCUGCGAGCAACAGCAAAGGACAUCCCCAGACCGGGUCAAAGAGUCAGAGUAUGGCUGGCAGCUGGCAAGAGUGACCAUCAACUUGAUAUUUCUGACUUGUUAUAGUUCAAAUAUAUGUCAAAGCAGUGGGCCUCACGCAUGAAUCGCUCAUACGCACGGACUGGAUCUUAAAUUGUGUGCGAGAACAAUUUGUUUUGUGCCAUUCAUACUUUCCUGCUUGUUCUUAGGUAAUAAUAUCAAAAUUUAAUUUUGCCAGCCAACUCGCAUUUUGUGCUGUUAAAUAUUAAUAAUGGUGAUGAAGAAGCCAUUUACUUUAUGAAAACACAGAAGGAGAAUGUUAUAGCUACAAUUAUUUAUUCAUUUAAUAAUCUAAAUGUUUUACACUUGUUAGACAAAGAUGAUUAGGUUACAGAGGCAGAUUCUUCAAAACCUGUGUGCCGCUCUGGAGCCUCAACUUAGAGUCAGAACUGCUAUCGAUUUCUUGGCUACUGGGACCUUCCAGAGAAAGAUUGGUGAUGUUCUAGCAUAUCCCAGUCCACUGUUAGUCAUGCGCUCCCCAAAGUGUCCCAGGAUGUCAUCCAGUUACCACCACAGUACAUUCAGCAGUGCCAUAUACAGUAUUGCUGCUCAGCAGACCCAGAUAAAUCGACUGUGCUUGUGCGCAUCAAGGCCUCCAAAUCCUCAAUAGAAAACAAUUCCAUUCAAUCAACAUCCAAAUAAUAUGUGAUUCUGCCUGACUGCACCCCCAACAGAGAUCUCCAAUGAUGGCUCAGAUGCACUCCAUGUCUGUUUUAGUAUUUUCCUGCCCCUGUCCCAUGGCUGUAAUAGUAGUCAUUUUCUGUCAGUUCUUUCUUGUGCACAUUACACUGGUUCCUGUUUGCUCUUUUCUGAACCAGUGACCCCACUCAUACUUGAAAAUAAGAUUUCUUUCCUCAACAAAACUUUACAGUACAUUUUCUAAGUUUGGUGGUAUUUCAUUUCCUUUUGCUUCCUUUUCUUUUUUGUUUUUGAGUUUACUGUUACCUGUCAAAUUUCAGUGGCUUGUUGGUUUGUGGUUUACACACAGCACAGAAGUGUGCUGCCCUUUAUUGAGGUAUUUCCAUACGCUAAUUGCAAAUUUCCUGGCACGCGCAACCACUUUCAGAUCAAAUACAAUUCAUCAACAGGCUCAGGUGGGUAAGAACAGACUUGGCUGUCAGCUCACCUUUAAUGAAGCCCACGUAGAAUUCCUGGGUUUGGUAACAAAAGGCCUCAUGCAUUAAUGUUUUCUUCCUUUUAUAAGAGAAAAAAAAGAAAACAUUCAUGCAUGAGGCCUAUUGUUACCAAACGCAUCGAGACUAUAGGAAGUGUAUAAUAGAACAAUUAAAUCUAGAAAUACUUAAAUAUCUGAUAUUAAGCAAGUGCAAGGCCUGGAAAUGGCACAAUUAAGCUACAAAUUAUGUUAAAAAUGACUGGUUAUCAAUUUAUUUACACUUUCUCCUAACUGGAGGCAUGUUCUUAUAAAAUGAUUUCUGCAGUGUUUUCAGAAUCUUUGUCUCCGCUGUGUGCGUAAGAAAUUCAAAUAGUUGUGGAGCUCAGUUCUGUAUGUGCAUAAAACAAAUGUGAACAACGAUGGACCACAUUCCUUAAACUUUAACAAUGGACCGGUUAAAAGGAAGAAGGGUUCACAGCCUGCCUUACACGGCCAGUCUCUAAAAGAACAGUGGGUGCUUCUACUGUACAAUCUCUUUAAGUAUAUAUAUCUCUCCAGGAGGAGAGCCCCUGGAGUUCAAAGCACAGUAAAUACACAGCGGGUGUAUGAACACACCUACAUUAUUAUUUAUGUCUCACCGCCUUAAACUGUGACUGGAAAGAGCUUACUAGAGUAUUUGUUUUUGUGUCUGGGGAAGGAUUACUGGUAUGAGAUAUGAAGUCAACAGUGGUUUGUAAUGUGCAUUGAUCAAUAUCAGCAAAAUUCCAGUCGAAGAUUCACACUGUAAACUUUCAGAAAUAAAAGCAAAGCAAUUUUGUUUUAUUUUUACACA